RNAcentral lists this transfer RNA (87 nucleotides) under Rhizorhabdus wittichii RW1. Its description in RNAcentral is "Sphingomonas wittichii RW1 tRNA". It matches the Rfam family "tRNA". Rfam says of the family: Transfer RNA (tRNA) molecules are approximately 80 nucleotides in length. Lineage: Bacteria; Pseudomonadati; Pseudomonadota; Alphaproteobacteria; Sphingomonadales; Rhizorhabdaceae. The record is from Rfam by way of RNAcentral.
GGAGAGGUGGCCGAGUGGUUUAAGGCAGCGGUCUUGAAAACCGCCGUGGGUACAAGCCCACCGUGGGUUCGAAUCCCACCCUCUCCG